AGGGAAGGAAAGAAAUGUUUUGCAGAAGAAGCCCCUGGCUCUCAACAGAUGAAGGAAGGAGCAAUGAAGCAGAAAAAUGGCAGAGAACUCCCCACCUUUCUUUCUCAAAAAAAAAACACAUCUCUCGGCUCUUUCCCUCACAGAACAAAAAGAAAAAAUUCUCUAUCUCUUGACUAGAGCUCCCAAUGGGAAAAACAGAGAAAGAAAGCAGAGAAGAAGAAAUUUGCAAGGGAGGCCCUCAUUCCUCUUUCUCUCGGCUAGAACAGAAAAGAAGGAGACGAAAAAUUCCCUCUCCCUCUGCUGUUUGGCUCCCUCAAUUUACUCUCUCCUUCUCUGGACUUCCAGAGAGCAAAAGAAGCAUAAGAAGAUAAAAUUGCAAGAGGCCCUUAGCUCCAACGGACAGAAAGGGGGAAGAAAGACAAAUUUUCUCCCUGACUCACUCUCGCAUCUCUCCCUCUUACGGACAAAGGCUACGGAUAGAAAACAGAGAAGGGAAGGAAAAAAUCUCUCGGCUCUCUCUCUCAGAUUCUCCCUCUCAUUUUUUAACAAAUAAAACACUCACUCCCAGGUUUUCUCUUGAACAGGGCAAGAACAAUGAAAACGGUUAAAGGCUCGUAAUUUCAUCAAAUUUUAGUCAAGAGAUUACAAUCGUCAUUGAGCCACUCUUGGGUCAUUUUUUUUUGUAAAAACUGAUUCAAAAAAUGGAGCCUACGCGAAAAAUUGAGUGAGGGUGUGUAUUUUAAUAAUUUUUAGUAAUAAAAAACAAUCGUCGGCAAUUGAUGACCGGUGGCGGUCUAUCACUGGCGCAGCCAUGGUUGCAAACUGAAGAAGUUUCGGAUGGCCCAGCAAGAAUAAGAAAGAAACCAGCGAAGAAGAUGAAGGCUUUGACAUUUGCAUGAUAAUCUGGAAAAUUUGCAGUUUGGCCCCCCAACCUUUAGAUAAUUACAUUGUGGCCCAAACGCUUUUGUAAUUGAACCAAUCAUGUCCCUAUUGAGUUUUUUUUAUCUUCUUUUUCAUAUUUUAAGUGCAUUUUUAAGCAUGUUGUUUCUAUGAUUUGGGGUAUGAUUAAGUCUUAAUUUGUCUUAGUGAAUUUAUUAUCUUAUUGGGCUUGGUAAAAUAAUUGGAAUUUUUGGACUGAGGUUUGUUUGGUUGGGUUUUGGUAUGAAAUCUGGUUCAUUUUGUUGGGUUUUAGGAAAUGGGUCUUGGCUUAUUUUUAUGGAUUUUUGCUUGGGCUUGGAAAUGGAAGCCCACUCUUUUGCAUUGGGUUUGUUGGAUAAAAGAGUUAGGCUUAGCCUGCUCCACUCCUUUGGGUUUUGGUUAGGCUAGGAGCUUUCGGCCCAAACAAAUAAAUAAAAUGGCCCAAGUGGCUUGUUGGGUUAGGAAGACCAGAAACGAAUUUGCAGAACAGUUCUUGUACAUUUGAGUAAUUAUAUUGUGGCACUAACUACUUUAGGUUUUUUUAAUAAGAUCCCUAUUUUAAUUGCAAAUAGGUCCCUUAACUUUAUUUUUCUUUAAUUUGGCCUCAAAACUUUAUUAAUUUUUACAAUUAAAUCCUUACUUGUUUUAAUUUCAUAGACAUGGUUUGUUUACCUUCAUUUAAGUGCCUCGAUUAAUUCAAUUUCAUAUUCAUCCCCCUUUUUAUGUGAUUAUUUGUUACUUAAAGUGAUGUCUUGACCUUUUCUUUAUUUUUGGAGGGUAAAUAAGUAAUUUUAUUUCAUUAGGGUACCAAUUCAGGGAAGGUACACUCUUUCCCUUAUUUUUGACUUUAUUUGACCCUACGUGCCCUAUAUGACUUUAUGUGCUUAAUUGCAUGCCUCUUGAAUGUUUUUAUUUAUUUAUUUACUUUUUUUAAUUUUGUAUAUUUAUUUUAAUUUAAUUCGAAAUUAUUUGGGAAGGCAAUUAAAUGUCACAAUUGUAAUAAUUAGGUAUUUAUUUUAACUAUUUAUUUUAUUUCCCCUUUUAGAUUGUAGUAGGCCCUUCCCCUAAUGUAAUAGUUAGGGCUUGUUUGCUUUAUUUGCUUAUUGUAAUUUGCAUACUUGCUUGCUAUGUGUUACCGCUUUUCUUAGGAUAUUUGUAUCUAGAUAUUAUACUUAUGUGUUAUGUGCUACGUGCUCUUAUGUGUUUAUUUAUUUUAAUUUAUACUUUAUUUGUUUACUGUGUAUUAUAAAUGCAUGACGUCACCACACUAGUCCAAUGCUAGUUGUGGCUUCUCCCUCCGCCCACUUGUUAGCCCAACGCUAGUAAGAUUUUUUAGAAAUUGGUUAGUCCAAUGUUAGACCCAUAGAUUGUUCAUGCAUUAGAUUCAUUUGUGUGAUAUUCAUUACAUUUUCAUGCAUAUUUUUAUUCUAAGAUCUUUUCCCAUUUGCAUGAUAUUUCCUAUUAUCUAUUAUCUCCCUAUCCUGCCCUUCCUGGGUAGCUCAGCCGGUGACCACAUGCGGUAGUGUCCCGUAGGUCACCGGUUCGAGUCCCAGUAACGAAAAUGGGGUAACCCAACAACCCGAAUAAGGGUUGGGGCCUGAAGUGGGGUCAGGUCCUUUUUUUUGACAAAAAAAAAAAAAA
Molecule: non-coding RNA, 2559 nt
Organism: Coffea arabica (coffee)
Lineage: Eukaryota; Viridiplantae; Streptophyta; Magnoliopsida; Gentianales; Rubiaceae
Source: RefSeq, a predicted model, not a curated record